RNAcentral lists this ribosomal RNA (387 nucleotides) under uncultured bacterium. Its description in RNAcentral is "bacterial SSU rRNA". It matches the Rfam family "Bacterial small subunit ribosomal RNA", at positions 30 to 417 of the family's 1533-position model. The record is from RNAcentral.
AUUGAACGCUGGCGGCAUGCCUUACACAUGCAAGUCGAACGGCAGCACGGGAGCAAUCCUGGUGGCGAGUGGCGAACGGGUGAGUAAUAUAUCGGAACGUGCCCAGUCGUGGGGGAUAACGUAGCGAAAGCUACGCUAAUACCGCAUACGAUCUAUGGAUGAAAGCGGGGGAUCGCAAGACCUCGCGCGAUUGGAGCGGCCGAUAUCAGAUUAGGUAGUUGGUGAGGUAAAGGCUCACCAAGCCGACGAUCUGUAGCUGGUCUGAGAGGACGACCAGCCACACUGGGACUGAGACACGGCCCAGACUCCUACGGGAGGCAGCAGUGGGGAAUUUUGGACAAUGGGCGCAAGCCUGAUCCAGCAAUGCCGCGUGCAGGAUGAAGGCCU